UUGUCCCUGUUUUUGUCCCCGUUUCAUCCCCAUUAUCCCCAUUUCGUCCCCAAUGUCCCCGUUUUGUCCCCAUUGUCCCCAUUUCAUCCCUGUUUUGUCCGUUAUCCAUGUUUUUGUCCCCGUUAUCCCCAUUUUGUCCCCAUUUUAUCCCCAUUUCUCCACAUUUUUCCCGUUUUGUCCCCAUUUCGUCCCUGUUGUCCCCAUUUUUUCCCCAUUUCAUCCCCAUUAUCCCUAUUUUGUCGCCAUUUUAUCCCCAUUUUCUCCCCAAUAUCCCCAUUUUCUCCCUGUUUUGUCCCCGUUAUCCCCAUUUUGUCCCAAUUUUGUCCCCAUUUCAUCCCCAUUAUCCCUGUUUUCUCCCUGUUUUCUCCCUGUUCUGUCCCCGUUCUGUCCCCAUUUCAGCCCCAUUACCCCCGUUUCAUCCCCAUUAUCCCCAUUAUCUCCCUGUUCUGUCCCCAUUAUCCCCAUUUUCUCCCCGUUUUCUUCCCAUUAUCCCGAUUUUCUUCCAGUUUUGUCCCCAUUAUCCCUGUUUUCUCCCCAUUCUGUCCCCGUUAUGUCCCCAUUUCAGCCCCAUUACCCCCGUUUCGUCCCCAUUACCCCCGUUUUCUCCCCGUUUUCUCCCCAUUAUCUCUGUUUUUUCCCCAUUUUCUCCCCUUUUCGUCCCCAUUAUCCCAAUUUUCUCCCCGUUUUCUCCCCGUUUUGUCCCCAUUAUCCCCAUUUUCUCCCCAUUUCAUCCCCAUUAUCCCCAUUUUCUCCCCAUUAUCCCCAUUUUCUCCCUGCUUUGUCCUCAUUAUCCCCAUUAUGUCCCCAUUUCAUCCCCAUUUUCUCCCCAGUUCAUCCCCAUUAUUCCCGUUUUCUCCCCAUUAUCCCCAUUUUCUCCCCAUUAUCCCCAUUUUCUCUGUUUUUUCCCUAUUUUCUCCCCAUUAUCCCCAUUUUCUCUCAGUUUUUUCCCCAUUUCGUCCCCAUUAUCCCCAUUUUCUCCCCGUUUUCUCCCCAUUAUCCCCAUUUCAUCCUCAUUAUCCCCAUUUUCUCUAAGUUUUUUGCCCAUUUUCUCCCCAUUAUCCCCAUUU
Molecule: long non-coding RNA, 1067 nt
Filed under: Anser cygnoides (Swan goose)
Lineage: Eukaryota; Metazoa; Chordata; Aves; Anseriformes; Anatidae
Description: lncRNA (ENSACDG00005008286.1)
Source: RNAcentral